Molecule: long non-coding RNA, 490 nt
Organism: Portunus trituberculatus (swimming crab)
Lineage: Eukaryota; Metazoa; Arthropoda; Malacostraca; Decapoda; Portunidae
Exons: 4
Source: RefSeq, a predicted model, not a curated record
GGGAAAGGCUGCUUGGGAAUACAUCAAGGAACUGUCCGACGAGGACAAGUUUGAGCUGUCAGUCAUCAACCCGACACUGGUGAUGGGGCCACCGUUGCUGGAGACCCACCGUACCUCCACCUCAGUCUCGCUCAUGACCGGGAUGUCAACAAGACUUACCCUGGCGUGCCUCGUGUGCAGUUCCCGGUGUGCGACGUGCGUGAUGUGGCCAGGGCUCAUGUCAAGGCGCUAACUCUCCCAGAAGCCGCGAACAACAGACACAUCAUUGCCACGGACAGCUGCUGGUACCGGGACAUUGCCAUCAGCGUAGCCAAGGAGUUCAGGCCGCAGGGUUACUCUAUCGCCACCGCCCAGCUGCCUUAUGCCCUCUGCUGGCUGGCGGGACUCUUUAACAGGCCUAUGAGGAACAACAUCUUGCCACGCAUUGGGAAGACUAUCAAUGUGGACAACAAGAGGAUGGUGGAGGUGCUGGGAGUGGAAACACGAUUGA